RNAcentral lists this ribosomal RNA (483 nucleotides) under uncultured bacterium. RNAcentral describes it as "bacterial SSU rRNA". It matches the Rfam family "Bacterial small subunit ribosomal RNA", at positions 501 to 981 of the family's 1533-position model. The record is from RNAcentral.
CUACGUGCCAGCAGCCGCGGUAAUACGUAGGGCGCGAGCGUUGUCCGGAAUUAUUGGGCGUAAAGAGCUUGUAGGCGGUUUGUCGCGUCUGCUGUGAAAGGCCGGGGCUUAACCCCGUGUAUUGCAGUGGGUACGGGCAGACUAGAGUGCAGUAGGGGAGACUGGAACUCCUGGUGUAGCGGUGGAAUGCGCAGAUAUCAGGAAGAACACCGAUGGCGAAGGCAGGUCUCUGGGCUGUAACUGACGCUGAGAAGCGAAAGCAUGGGGAGCGAACAGGAUUAGAUACCCUGGUAGUCCAUGCCGUAAACGUUGGGCACUAGGUGUGGGGGCCACCCGUGGUUUCUGCGCCGUAGCUAACGCUUUAAGUGCCCCGCCUGGGGAGUACGGCCGCAAGGCUAAAACUCAAAGGAAUUGACGGGGGCCCGCACAAGCGGCGGAGCAUGCGGAUUAAUUCGAUGCAACGCGAAGAACCUUACCAAGGCU